AGUGAACGCUGGCGGUAGGCCUAACACAUGCAAGUCGAACGGCAGCACAGUAAGAGCUUGCUCUUACGGGUGGCGAGUGGCGGACGGGUGAGGAAUACAUCGGAAUCUACUUUUUCGUGGGGGAUAACGUAGGGAAGCUUACGCUAAUACCGCAUACGACCUGCGGGUGAAAGCAGGGGAUCUUCGGACCUUGCGCGAUUGAAUGAGCCGAUGUCGGAUUAGCUAGUUGGCGGGGUAAAGGCCCACCAAGGCGACGAUCCGUAGCUGGUCUGAGAGGAUGAUCAGCCACACUGGAACUGAGACACGGUCCAGACUCCUACGGGAGGCAGCAGUGGGGAAUAUUGGACAAUGGGCGCAAGCCUGAUCCAGCCAUACCGCGUGGGUGAAGAAGGCCUUCGGGUUGUAAAGCCCUUUUGUUGGGAAAGAAAAGCAGCAGGUUAAUACCCCGCUGUUCUGACGGUACCCAAAGAAUAAGCACCGGCUAACUUCGUG
RNAcentral lists this ribosomal RNA (492 nucleotides) under uncultured bacterium. Its description in RNAcentral is "partial 16S ribosomal RNA". It matches the Rfam family "Bacterial small subunit ribosomal RNA", at positions 29 to 507 of the family's 1533-position model. The record is from RNAcentral.